AUGGCUCAGGACGAACACUAGCGGCGGGCUUAAUACAUGCAAGUUAGGGGUUCAGCAAUGGACACCGGCGGACGGGUGCGUAACACGUAUGCAACCUGCCCUUUACUGGAGGAUACUCCGGAGAAAUUCGGCACAACACUCCAUAUACUCAUACUUUCGCAUGGGAGAAUGAGGAAAGGUUACGGUAAAGGAUGGGCAUGCGUCUGAUUAGCUAGUUGGCGAGGUAACGGCUCACCAAGGCGACGAUCAGUAGCUGGUCUGAGAGGAUGAUCAGCCACACUGGCACUGAGAUACGGGCCAGACUCCUACGGGAGGCAGCAGUAGGGAAUAUUGGUCAAUGGGCGAAAGCCUGAACCAGCCACGCCGCGUGCAGGAAGAAGGUCCUCUGGAUUGUAAACUGCUUUUGCCAAGGGAUAAAGAGAGGCUAUACGCCUAAAUGAAGGUACUUGGUGAAUAAGCCACGGCUAACUACGUG
Molecule: ribosomal RNA, 475 nt
Filed under: uncultured bacterium
Lineage: Bacteria
Description: bacterial SSU rRNA
Rfam family: Bacterial small subunit ribosomal RNA
Source: RNAcentral